UGGGGAAUAUUGGACACUGGGCGCAAGCCUGAUCCAGCCAUGCCGCGUGUGUGAAGAAGGCCUUAUGGUUGUAAAGCACUUUAAGCGAGGAGGAGGCUACUUUAGUUAAUACCUAGAGAUAGUGGACGUUACUCGCAGAAUAAGCACCGGCUAACUCUGUGCCAGCAGCCGCGGUAAUACAGAGGGUGCAAGCGUUAAUCGGAUUUACUGGGCGUAAAGCGCGCGUAGGCGGCUAAUUAAGUCAAAUGUGAAAUCCCCGAGCUUAACUUGGGAAUUGCAUUCGAUACUGGUUAGCUAGAGUGUGGGAGAGGAUGGUAGAAUUCCAGGUGUAGCGGUGAAAUGCGUAGAGAUCUGGAGGAAUACCGAUGGCGAAGGCAGCCAUCUGGCAUAACACUGACGCUGAGGUGCGAAAGCAGGGGGAGCAAACAGG
RNAcentral lists this ribosomal RNA (430 nucleotides) under Pseudomonadota bacterium. RNAcentral's name for it is "Proteobacteria bacterium partial 16S ribosomal RNA". It matches the Rfam family "Bacterial small subunit ribosomal RNA", at positions 355 to 776 of the family's 1533-position model. The record is from RNAcentral. Lineage: Bacteria; Pseudomonadati; Pseudomonadota.